AACGAACGCUGGCGGCAGGCCUAACACAUGCAAGUCGAGCGCGCCCUUCGGGGUGAGCGGCGGACGGGUGUGUAACGCGUGGGAACGUGCCCUUUUCUACGGAAUAGCCUCGGGAAACUGAGAGUAAUACCGUAUACGCCCUAUGGGGGGAUGAUAUAUGGGAAAAGGAUCGGCCCGCGUUGGAUUAGGUAGUUGGUGGGGUAAUGGCCUACCAAGCCGACGAUUCAUAGCUUGUUUGAGAGGAUGAUCACCGACACUGGGAGUGAGACACGGCCGGGACUCCUACGCGAUGGAGCAGUGGCGAAUCGUACAACAUGGGGGCAACGAUGAUCUAGCCAUGCCGGGUAAGUGAUGAUGGCCGGAAGGUAGUAAAGCGCUAGCAGCUGGGAAGAUCUUGACGGUACCAGCAGAAGAAGCCCCGGCUAACUACGUG
Molecule: ribosomal RNA, 433 nt
Filed under: uncultured bacterium
Lineage: Bacteria
Description: partial 16S ribosomal RNA
Rfam family: Bacterial small subunit ribosomal RNA
Source: RNAcentral